UACGUAGGGAGCAAGCGUUGUCCGGAAUUAUUGGGCGUAAAGAGCUCGUAGGCGGUUUGUUGCGUCGGCCGUGAAAACCUGCAGCUUAACUGUGGGCCUGCGGCCGAUACGGGCAGACUUGAGUUCGGUAGGGGAGACUGGAAUUCCUGGUGUAGCGGUGAAAUGCGCAGAUAUCAGGAGGAACACCGGUGGCGAAGGCGGGUCUCUGGGCCGAUACUGACGCUGAGGAGCGAAAGCGUGGGGAGCGAACAGG
Molecule: ribosomal RNA, 253 nt
Filed under: uncultured bacterium
Lineage: Bacteria
Description: partial 16S ribosomal RNA
Rfam family: Bacterial small subunit ribosomal RNA
Source: RNAcentral